Molecule: long non-coding RNA, 4530 nt
Organism: Ostrea edulis (European flat oyster)
Lineage: Eukaryota; Metazoa; Mollusca; Bivalvia; Ostreida; Ostreidae
Exons: 3
Source: RefSeq, a predicted model, not a curated record
UGCUACUACUACUACUACUUCUACUACCACUACUAAAACUACUUCUAUGACUACUAUUACUACUACUACGAAGACUACAUGCUGCUUUUUCUAUUUCUACGACUAUUAACAUUAUUAUUACUACUACCACUUCUACUACUACUAUUACUACUACCACUACUACUACUACUACUACUACUACUACUACUAUUGCUCUUUUCUCUACUUUUAACUUUUAAAACUAGUGAUACUACUACUACUACUACUACUACUACAACUACAUGUACUACUAGAACUACUAUUACUACUGCUGCUGCUGCUUUUUCUACUUCUAAGACUAAUAACUUUACUACUACUGCGACUACUACUAUUAUAAUACUACUAUUACAUGUACUUCUUUUUCUACUUCUAAGACUACUUCUACUACCACUACUUAAACUACUACUACUACUACUACUACUACUACUACUACUACUACUGCUGCUGCUGCUACUACUACUACUACUACUGCUACUGCUGGUUUUUCUACUUUUAAUACUACUAAUAUUACUACUACUACAACUACAUGUAAUACUACAAUUACUAUUACUACUGCUGCUGCCUUUUCUACUUCUAAGACUUCUUACAUUACUACUACUACUUCUAAUACUACUACUACUGUACUAGUAGUAGUAGUAGUUACUAAUCAAUUGGUUGGUUGAUUUGAACAUACUGUAUUGUAUAUUAAUAUCUAUAAGUUGCAAACAAUCAGUAUGCUCGACGAUUCAUCAAUAUUAGUCAAGAACCGACAGUAAUGAACGGUUCCUGAAUAUAUAUUUUUAUUGCAUGAUACGAAAUUAGUACAAAUAUUAUUAUUCUAACAACGACUAAAACAAACUUGUAAAAGAAAAGAUAAGGAGUGAUAGAUAUUUACAGUUCGGUUGAUUUUCAAAUGAAUUUUACAUUAAUAAAUACACUGUUCGUUAUCUUCACCUUGCAUAUACAUGUGUGUGUUUUUAAAUAAAAGUUUGUUGUUAACUGCAUUUCUUACACCAAUUUCUUUAUCUUAAAACACAUUUUAUUAGUGUCUUUUGUGUGGUUUCUGGAUAAGUUAAUUUAAGCACAUUUCUAAAAUAUAUUUAAUCUGUAGCCUUAACCCCUUCUCUACCGUACCGGUCAAUUUGACCGAUGGCGCGUAAAAACAGGACUACGCAAAAGGAGUGCAUCUAAAUCUUUGAAACUACGGUCAUAAGAUAUCUGAUCUAUCUAUCAUAUUUUUGGAAAUUUUCUCUAUGUUUUGACUAUGUAAAAAUCAAUAAAGUAAGUAAAGCCAUUAGAUUAAAAAAAGCAUUUAAAGUGAAGGAUGGCUUCGUCUAAAUAUGACGCAACGCUUUGUCGCAAGGUCAUUUUCCCCUUCAAUAUGAUUUUUUUUUUAUUUUCCUUAUGAAUUCAAUAUUUUUUUUAUAUUUUUGAAAAUCAUAUAUUCCCUGCUUUCAGAAGAUAUAAAAAUUAUUUUUAAUGCCCAGCAAAGUUAUAAGAAAAUAGCAAUUUUUUGCACAUGUACGUUUUCUUACGAUUUUAUUUCUAAAUGUUUAAACAUAUCGGCGUUUUACCUAUAUUUAUAUAUGGAAAUAGGGAAAAGUAAAUACAGCCUGUAAAAGUAGAUAUUAUAAUUCUCGGUAGUUUUUAUAUUAUGAUAAAAUGAAAUUAGGACAUGCUGCUCGGUUUUCUUUAAAAUUAGACACAAAACGUCGUCGCUAAAAGCGAUCGACGCGCGUCGCAAAGUGGUGAAAACUAUAAAAUGUGUAUUGUCCUCUUUUAGUAAAUUCAGUACCUUUUGAUACACUAAAACAAUAUACACAUAUGUAUGAAAUAAUCAGCCAGGUAUUCUCUGCUUUUUUAAAAAAAAGCAUAAAACCAAUAUUGGUAUAUAACAGUUACACAACCUACAUGUAACUUCAUAAAACACUUACUGAGAAUGUUACAUCCGCAGAGAGUAAAUUAAAAAAAAAAAGAUAAAUAAAAUACUUCAAAUUCAGAUAUAAACGUUAUAUUUGUUCGGAAUAGUAAUAUUUUUUCCCAUACCAAACAAAGAAAACUAAAAAGAAGUUGGCAUAAAGCCUAUAAGUCUAUACUUUUAUUUUUCCGUGAUCGGGAUCGCGGGGUUUUCUGAAAGUGUGCACGGGCAACACACGUGUUUCCGUUUCAACGAAAACAACACAGCUUCACUGUGACUGUCACAGGGAAGGCUUGUAUUUUACAUCAUUAAAACGACCUGAUGUCAGAAGAAGAUGCCCUGGAUCUCCUGUUGCAGGAUGACCCAAACGAUCAUGCAUUCAGUAUAAACAUGUACAUGUAAGUUGAUGUAGCCGCAUAGGCUGACUAGGAAAAAAAAAUUGCAGUUUUGUCAUGUUAUGAAAAAUUCACGAUUAAUUAACGCGAUUUGAUGCCAUAAUUUUUCGUUUCAUGAAAGAAAAUAUUUAUAUUUUAUGAUUCCUAAACCAAGUGUUUAUUAAGAGCUGACAUCAUUUAAUCUGUCCUGGUCCGGCAUUAAUCCGUCUGAUUAGCACCCCCCUUUUUCCAGAAUUCUCUCCUUACCUGACGCGCGAGUGUAAGAAGUGGGUGGAUUUACUGUGCAAUGAGAAGGGGAAUGGGGUGGUUUUAAUUAGACUGGGCAUUCAUGACCGUUGGUGAGAAGGCUAUUUUCCAGGAUUUUUCCAUGUUUAUAAAAAUUAUCUUUCUAUGAAAAGAAAACACAAUCUGUUAGGAAAACACAUAUUACGUCAUUGUAAUGAUAGAAUUUAUUAUCAUGAUUUGAAUUAUUUUCUUCAUAUUGUAACAGAAAUAUAAACGAAAUGUGUGUUUGGGCCGAAAUGGGGGGGGGGGGGGGGGGGUGUACGUAACAUCAUCAAAGUCUGAUUAUGACAGGCCAAUGAAAAGUCAUAUAGAUUUCUCUUUUAUCCAAAUUAAUGUAUUUUAUAUACACUUAGUAGCUUAUGACCAUAAAUUACAUGUCAUCCAUACAUGCUGGUACUGGUAUGCUAUGAGCUAUGAUCUUGCCUAGAUUUUCUCUAAUUUCAACUAAAUCCACACCCCAUCAGAGUACCAUGCAAGGGGAUUUAGACACUGUGUAACAUGAAGAACCAGUUCAAUUCUACUUUUAUAUCUGGGGUCAUAUACUUUCCCUCAGAGUUGCAGUAUUUUUGUUGGACCAGAAUUUCUUCAGUACCCCCCCCCCCCCUCCCCUGUAUAUGCUAGGCAUAAUGCUGACACCUACAUGAUGCAUAUCUUUUUUUUUCAUUACGCACUCUGCUACACUCGCAAUGUAUAAUAAAAUAUUCCAUUCAUUUCUAACACAUGUACGCAAUCCCCUACCAAAUGUCACUUAAAAUAAAGGACAUCUCUUAUCUUUAAAUAAGUUUGAGCUGUACUUAAGUGCGAAACUGUCCCGUGCUACCAUGAAACAUAUUUUGCUUUAAAAAAUAAACCAACAAUUCUUAAUUGUAAUUUCUUUUCAUCUUUAAAAAGGGUAUUGACAUCCCAAUAUUUAGGGGGAAGUUCCCAGGUAUCGUCCACUAGUGACAGUGUACUGGCAAAGCCAGACAUGCAUUGGAAGGAUGAUGUUAUGAAGGACACAGGGACACCUGAUCCAAGAACUGUGACAUUUCAUUCGGAGCGACAGCCUGGCAUUCAGUUGAUAUGGGACCCGAUUAUUCAGAGAACUGCAUAUUUUAUGAAGCUGUUUUUGACAGAAGACUUGGGUUUUCUCCAUCUGUGUUGUCACCAACCAUUAUGCUGAGAUGGUCAUAUCUAGGGGGAAGGAUUGUCAUUAUGCUUCCCAAGGAAGUUCGCAUCCUCUCACUGAAGAGCAAUGAUUUUUGUGCAUUAUCUGAUACAUGUCUGCUGUGAAGUUCCAGUCGAUAGACAGAUAUUGGUCAAUACAUGCCCCUAUCGGAACAACCCAGUACAGUGUAUCAAGAAUGAUGUCUAGAAAUAGGUUUUAAGAGGUUGAAUAUAAGAACAUUUUUGUUAAAUAUGAUGCAAGUACAUUUAAAUCUAGUGAUUGAAAGUAAGUACUUGAACAUUCGUAUACGUUGAACUUAGAGAGGAAAAACGGGUAGUACUUUUUGAUAACAUUUGAUAAGGUGCUGUUGCUUAGCAACCAAAUAUAUUUGAAUGCAAAAAAUUUAAUUAUUUUAGAUUAACAAUAAAGAUCUUUGUUUUAAUGUUGCAAUAUAUAUUCUAAUUAGUGAAACAUAAUGGCAAAACGUCAUAUUAUUAGAAAAUGAUGGAUAUGUACAAUGUAUAUAAAGUACAAAGUUUCCAUUUUAUGACCUUUGACCUUAAUUCUCAUUAUCAUAUUUUUUGUUAAAAACCUUUUUAAAUGAUUAGGAUUUAUUUAAAGAUUAUAUUUUUAAAAUAAUGUGACAUUUACUAAUCAUCAUUCAAUGUAAUUAUGUUUAAAUUGUGUCGAAUGUAUGCAGAAAGGCAAAUUAUGGUCAAAAUUGUACUAUGAAUGUUGUUACUUAGCAACCAAAAAUAUUUGUUUCUCAAUAAAAUUGAUUAAUUUGA